GACGAACGCUGGCGACGUGCUUAACACAUGCAAGUCGAGCGGUAAGGCCCUUUCGGGGGUACACGAGCGGCGAACGGGUGAGUAACACGUGGGUGACCUGCCCUCAGCUCUGGGAUAAGCCUGGGAAACCGGGUCUAAUACCGGAUAUGACUCCAUGACGCAUGUUGUGGGGUGGAAAGCCUUGUGCGGCUGAGGAUGGGCCCGCGGCCUAUCAGCUUGUUGGUGGGGUGANGGCCUACCAAGGCGACGACAGGUAGCCGGCCUGAGAGGGCGACCGGCCACACUGGGACUGAGACACGGCCCAGACUCCUACGGGAGGCAGCAGUGGGGAAUCUUGCGCAAUGGGCGAAAGCCUGACGCAGCGACGCCGCGUGAGGGAUGACGGCCUCGG
RNAcentral lists this ribosomal RNA (391 nucleotides) under uncultured bacterium. RNAcentral's name for it is "bacterial SSU rRNA". It matches the Rfam family "Bacterial small subunit ribosomal RNA", at positions 28 to 420 of the family's 1533-position model. The record is from RNAcentral.